RNAcentral lists this long non-coding RNA (573 nucleotides) under Trifolium pratense (red clover). RNAcentral's name for it is "long non-coding RNA (TPRA_LNC009728)". The record is from RNAcentral. Lineage: Eukaryota; Viridiplantae; Streptophyta; Magnoliopsida; Fabales; Fabaceae.
UACCCGAGGGAUCAAACCACCGUAGUUCGGAGUAAAAGUUACGAGUAAAUUUGUUUGUUUGAUUUUUUAAGUUUUGAAAAUGGUUUUUAAAGAUAAAAUAAAAAUGUGAGGUUGGUUCAUUUUUAUUUGUGAAAUCAAGUCUAAAUGAUUAGGAUUGAUUGAUGUUUGAUUUAGAAAAGAGGCGCGUUCGUUUGGUUUGAAGUCCAAGGUUUAUUGUAAAAAAUGGUUUGAAUGAUAAAAGUCUCUUGGUUUGAAGUCCAAGGUUUUUGAAUGUAUUCGAUGAUAAAAAUAUUUUUGACGCUUUUCGAUGUUUGAAACUAAAUUGCUUGCAUAUUUUUUGAAAGAGGUUUUGACCUCGUUUUUUCGAUAUAUAAAAAAAAUGGUUACGCGCGAAGAACAAUAUUAACAUCAUACUAAAUAAGCGCGAAGACGAACCGUAAUGAUAUUUUGAUCAAAACGGUGUCUUUUCCUCGGAAUUUAAUUUUCUAACGCAUUGACGGAAAGCAAUAAAUAAAUAUGCAUGCAAUGCAAGGUUUCUCAUUUAUAAUUACAUCUUCCUAAUUACAUUCUAAU